Molecule: unclassified non-coding RNA, 402 nt
Filed under: uncultured Trichocomaceae
Lineage: Eukaryota; Fungi; Ascomycota; Eurotiomycetes; Eurotiales; Trichocomaceae
Description: sequence contains ITS2
Rfam family: 5.8S ribosomal RNA (bases 1-154)
Source: RNAcentral
AACUUUCGGCAAUGGAUCUCUUGGCUCCGGCAUCGAUGAAGAACGCAGCGAAAUGCGAUAAGUAAUGUGAAUUGCAGAAUUCAGUGAAUCAUCGAGUCUUUGAACGCACAUUGCGCCCCCUGGUAUUCCGGGGGGCAUGCCUGUCCGAGCGUCAUUGCUGCCCUCAAGCACGGCUUGUGUGUUGGGCCGCCGUCCCGGGGGGACUUUUCUCCCCCGCGGGACGGGCCCGAAAGGCAGCGGCGGCACCGUGUCCGGUCCUCGAGCGUAUGGGGCUCUGUCACCCGCUCUGGUAGGCCCGGCCGGCGCGCCAGCCCUUCUCAACCAUUUUUGUUCUUUCUCCAGGUUGACCUCGGAUCAGGUAGGGAUACCCGCUGAACUUAAGCAUAUCAAUAAGCGGAGGCU